GACGAACGCUGGCGGCGUGCCUAAUACAUGCAAGUAGAACGCUGAAGAGAGGAGCUUGCUCUUCUUGGAUGAGUUGCGAACGGGUGAGUAACGCGUAGGUAACCUGCCUUGUAGCGGGGGAUAACUAUUGGAAACGAUAGCUAAUACCGCAUAACAAUGGAUGACACAUGUCAUUUAUUUGAAAGGGGCAAUUGCUCCACUACAAGAUGGACCUGCGUUGUAUUAGCUAGUAGGUGAGGUAACGGCUCACCUAGGCGACGAUACAUAGCCGGCCUGAGAGGGUGAUCGGCCACACUGGGACUGAGACACGGCCCAGACUCCUACGGGAGGCAGCAGUAGGGAAUCUUCGGCAAUGGGGGCAACCCUGACCGAGCAACGCCGCGUGAGUGAAGAAGGUUUUCGGAUCGUAAAGCUCUGUUGUAAGUCAAGAACGAGUGUGAGAGUGGAAAGUUCACACUGUGACGGUAGCUUACCAGAAAGGGACGGCUAACUACGUG
Molecule: ribosomal RNA, 497 nt
Filed under: uncultured bacterium
Lineage: Bacteria
Description: partial 16S ribosomal RNA
Rfam family: Bacterial small subunit ribosomal RNA
Source: RNAcentral